GGGGUUUCCAGGUGAACAAGUCCCUAAAGAGCUCAAUCAAGUGGGGAAAGAGUCACACAUAUCAACGUUUCACAGCUAAAAUGAUUUGGUGACAGUGAAUACAAUGUGGAGCACAGAGAACAGAGUGACAAAUAACGGCAUUUUCUGAGGUCUCACUGUUGCCCAAGCUGGAUUGCAAUGGCAUCAUCCUAGUUCCCUGCAGCCUAGAACUCCUGAGCUCAAGCAAUCCAUCCGCCUUAGCCUCCUGAGUAGCUGGAACUACAGGCAUGUGC
RNAcentral lists this long non-coding RNA (272 nucleotides) under Pan troglodytes (chimpanzee). RNAcentral describes it as "long non-coding RNA NONPTRT012161". Lineage: Eukaryota; Metazoa; Chordata; Mammalia; Primates; Hominidae. The record is from RNAcentral.